This 173-nucleotide ribosomal RNA is filed under the name uncultured bacterium. RNAcentral describes it as "partial 16S ribosomal RNA". It matches the Rfam family "Bacterial small subunit ribosomal RNA", at positions 334 to 522 of the family's 1533-position model. The record is from RNAcentral.
UACUCCUACGGGAGGCAGCAGUGGGGAAUAUUGGGCAAUGGGCGAAAGCCUGACCCAGCAAUGCCGCGUGAAGGAAGAAGGCCUUCGGGUUGUAAACUUCUUUUACCGAGGACGAAGAAAUGACGGUACUCGGCGAAUAAGCUCCGGCUAACUACGUGCCAGCAGCCGCGGUA